GGGCAGAUACCCAAGUGGCCAACGGGGACAGACUGUAAAUCUGUUGCGCUUGCGCUUCGGGGGUUCGAAUCCUCCUCUGCCCACCA
Molecule: transfer RNA, 86 nt
Filed under: Omnitrophica WOR_2 bacterium RIFCSPHIGHO2_02_FULL_50_17
Lineage: Bacteria; Pseudomonadati; Candidatus Omnitrophota
Description: tRNA-Tyr
Rfam family: tRNA
About the family: Transfer RNA (tRNA) molecules are approximately 80 nucleotides in length.
Source: RNAcentral